Molecule: ribosomal RNA, 919 nt
Filed under: Eleutherascus lectardii
Lineage: Eukaryota; Fungi; Ascomycota; Pezizomycetes; Pezizales; Ascodesmidaceae
Description: eukaryotic LSU rRNA
Rfam family: Eukaryotic large subunit ribosomal RNA
Source: RNAcentral
UCAAUAAGCGGAGGAAAAGAAACCAACAGGGAUUGCCUUAGUAACUGCGAGUGAAGCGGCAAAAGCUCAAAUUUGAAAUCUGGCGCUUCUGGCGUCCGAAUUGUAAUUUGGAGAGAUUUCUUCGGAAUGAACACCGGUCUAAGUUCCUUGGAACAGGACGUCGCAGAGGGUGAGAAUCCCGUGUGUGGCUGGUUGUUUCAUUCCAUGUGAAGAGUCUUCGACGAGUCGAGUUGUUUGGGAAUGCAGCUCAAAAUGGGUGGUAAAUUUCAUCUAAAGCUAAAUAUUGGCGAGAGACCGAUAGCGCACAAGUAGAGUGAUCGAAAGAUGAAAAGCACUUUGAAAAGAGAGUUAAAAAGUACGUGAAAUUGUUGAAAGGGAAGCGCUUGAGACCAGACUCGAUUUAUGGUGAUCAGCAGUCCUUCUGGGCUGUGCACUUGCCAUUCUUCGGGACAGCAUCGGUUCUGACCGUGUGAUAAAGGUGUUGGGAAUGUGGCUCCUUUCGGGGAGUGUUAUAGCCCAAUGCGUAAUGACACGAGUUGGGACCGAGGACCGCGCUUCGGCUAGGAUGCUGUCAUAAUGGUCUUCAGCGACCCGUCUUGAAACACGGACCAAGGAGUCUAACAUCUAUGCGAGUGUUCGGGUGGAAAACCCUUGCGCGUAAUGAAAGUGAACGGAGGUGGGAACCUUUCGGGGUGCACCAUCGACCGAUCCUGAUGUCUUCGGAUGGAUUUGAGUAAGAGCAUAGCUGUUGGGACCCGAAAGAUGGUGAACUAUGCCUGAAUAGGGUGAAGCCAGAGGAAACUCUGGUGGAGGCUCGCAGCGGUUCUGACGUGCAAAUCGAUCGUCAAAUUUGGGUAUAGGGGCGAAAGACUAAUCGAACCAUCUAGUAGCUGGUUCCUGCCGAAGUUUCCCUCAGGAA